ACUCGAGGCAUGUCUGCUGCCAGUUCUCCUCCAAGGAUGGCAAAGCUGAGAAGUAGCCGGUGUCGUGGACAAGCUGCAGUUCCUGGAAUAUACUAUAACUGGCCAAGACAUCCAUGCUGCUGCCGGCCGGCCCCUGCUCUGCUUUGUGUGUGUUUGUUUGCUCUGGAGGGGGGUGUUUGGGAUCAUAAAAAAAAGAGGAGGAAAAGCAACCAAUGAUAGAUCCAGCGUCCCUUUUGCUUUGUUUUGUUUCAGUCACACUUCAAAAAAAAAAAAAAAAAAAAAAGAAAAAAAAAAGGAAUUCGGUCAGCGCGGAGGGACGCGGGGCCGGGCCGAGGCGGCCGCGCUCCGAGCACCCCGCGCCCGCCGCACCGGGGCACGUCCCCGUCCCCGUCCCCGUCCCCGUCCCCG
Molecule: long non-coding RNA, 408 nt
Filed under: Gallus gallus (chicken)
Lineage: Eukaryota; Metazoa; Chordata; Aves; Galliformes; Phasianidae
Source: RNAcentral